Orcinus orca (killer whale) is the source of this 541-nucleotide long non-coding RNA. RefSeq lists it as uncharacterized. The record is from RefSeq and is a predicted model, not a curated record. Lineage: Eukaryota; Metazoa; Chordata; Mammalia; Artiodactyla; Delphinidae. The transcript has 2 exons.
GCUAAAUACCACACACUGCGGCGGCCGCCAUGAGGAGGCGCGGCCCCGCGCGCCGGCGGCCCGGAGAGGGCGGGGCUUCCCGCGGGCGCGCAGGCGCAGAGGCUCUUGCGCGGCAGGCUGAUAGUUUUGCAAUCCUUGCGGUGCGGGGUUCCGAGGUGGCGGCUACAGCUUGGGCUCCUCGGCUACCGUUGCUGUGACUGAACGCAUCGCGGCCCACAAACGGUGGCAUAUCGCGCUCUUGCCUGCAACCGUCCUCUCCCGGGGAAGAGCGGGCGCUCGCCUGCCGCGUCAGGGACCUCGGUUGAGCGAUCCCCGCGGGGCUUUGUUCCGCGGCCCAAGGGGUCGUCCCGCGCCGCGGCCCCGGAAGAAGAAACCGGCUGCCUUGGCCACCGACGUGGGACCCCACGCCUAAAGGGGAAGAGGUCCAAGACGCUUCCUUAGGUUUGAACUGCUCUUCAGCAAAACCGGAACGAGUUACAAAAGAUUAUUUUAGUUGAAGAGUCUUUACAUAAAAAAUAAAAGGAAAAUGUCAUUCACGGUU